RNAcentral lists this long non-coding RNA (8024 nucleotides) under Zostera marina. Its description in RNAcentral is "long non-coding RNA (ZMAR_LNC003919)". Lineage: Eukaryota; Viridiplantae; Streptophyta; Magnoliopsida; Alismatales; Zosteraceae. The record is from RNAcentral.
CAAUACCUAUGACGUAGCUGUCUAUUCUACUUCACCGUCUGGUCGCAUCAUCAUAUAAGAUGAUGCAUCUCACCCAUUUUUCACAAUCAAACGAAGACUCCCGUUCUCCCUUCUUCCACCAUCUUCAUUCACCCUCUACCAUCUUCCAUCCUAUACGCAACAGCUAGCCCAAACCACCCAACCAAAAACCCCUCUCCUAACAUACCCAAUAGCCAAGCACACUUCAACCAAAAACCACUUCCUGAACAUACCAAAUGGAGUGACCUUCUCCUUCUGUCUAGUUAGUGAGUGUAUUUCACCUGUUUCUCUGGUUCUUGUUGUUCGGUGUUUCAUGUGGGUUUUGUUUUGUUGCGCUUAAGUUCUUUUUCGUUUUUGUUAUUAUUUGUUUGGUUCAGCGCUUCAGUUUACUUCGGUUCUCUUCCCUCUUGUCCAGUUUCGUUCAGUAGAGUUUCAGUCGGUCCCUGCUCGACGUUCUAUUCUGACUGUCAUUGAUCUGUUCCGCUCGGCGUUCUAUUCGGCUCUGUUUAAUUCAGGUUUCGGGUGAGAUUAGUACGAAACGUAAACAUGAUGAGACUGUGGGUAAUCCAGAUAAUAUAAAAGGUUUUAAUUUUUCUUCUUCUAAACAUGUGUAUCUAAUAAUAUUUAAAUUUUUGUAUUGCACUUUCUAUGAAUAAUUACACUUUGAAAUAGUUUAUUGUCAUCUUCACCCAUUAUUUAAGGUCGUUAUUACGGUCAUCUGCCUAUUUUAUGAUAUUAUUUAAUUAUUUCUUCAAAUUCCAUUAAAAUAUUUUAUAAUAUGUAAUAUUUAUUUUUUAUUUAAUGUACUAUAUCAUUCCUAAUUUCUAGUUUUUAUUAAUAAUUUUUUCAGUUACAUUUAAUUUUAUGCUAAUAUUUUUUUUCUUCUAAUUCCAGAUUCUAUGGAGGUCGAUGAUUCUCAACAAAUUAUUAAUUUACCUUCUACCUCAAAGAAAAGUUAGUGAUUAUUCAAUUUAUUUUUUGGUUACUUACAAAAUUUGAGAUUUUCAUUUAUAUUUUAAGAAAUUUUACUUUUAUAUAUCUCCAUCUUUUAUUAGGACCUAGACUGAAGAAAAAAAAUUUAAUCUCAUUUGAAGAUCGGUGUUGUUAUGUUAAACAAAUUCCUCAAAGUGUUUUUCCCAAAAAAAAUUGUUGGCGGUGCUAAUAAUUGUAAGUGGUCUUGCAAAUUUUUGUAGUAAUUCAAUUUUUUUUUAAAUUCUUUGUUUUUUGAUUGAAAUGUAAUAUAUUAUUGUUGCAGUUUAUUAGAAUUGCUACUGAACUUGCGAAUGAUAUUAUUUAUAAUAGUCUAAGAAUGACAACAGUUUAUAAAUGAUAAUAUUUGGAGAUAAAUGUUUAUACAGAUUUGAUGAUUGCAGCAGUGAUCUGGAGAUGAUGAAGAUGAUGAGUAGAUCAGAUGAAGAAUCUCCAGAUGAACAGAUGAUUUGAUUCGAUGCCUUGAGAUUCCAGAAGACAGAUUCCAGAAGACAGAUUGAAGAACCUGGAGGACAGAUUGAAGAAUAGAGAUGGUGAUUUAGGAACAAGGAUUUGAUUCCAAAACCUAAGGUUUUAGUUGUGUUGUUCUAUACUUAUAGGGAUAAUUACCAACGGCUAUAUGGUUUAGGUGAGUUUGGUAGAUAUCCUUAAUUGUGGUAAUAAAUGAGAUUAGGAAAUGUUUAUAUUGGGAAUAAUGAAUUAAGGAUUGGGAGAAUAUUUGAAAGGAUAUUGUUGGAUAUUGAGUGAUAGGAUAUAUGUGUUUUAGUAGGGACUUGUAUGGUAUUUUCACAAUAAUUCUAGUAUUCUAAUAGUCCCCCUCGAAGAUAAGGCCAUAAACUACUAGGAUAGUAUAGGUAUUUGAUAAAAAAUAAAAGGUGUAUAUGGGUAUUUUGUGUAUCUGGGUAUAUGGGUAAUCGGAUAUGGAUGUGUGGAUAUUGGGUUUAUUGUGUUCUAUAAAAGGGUGUGUUUGUGGGGUUUUUCUUUUUGAUUGGUGGCACUAGGGUUUGGGUUUGGCGGGAGUCGCUUCGUUUCAUAGGUUUGCUCCUCUUCCUUCUCCUUCUUGUAUUUUGUUUUCUCCUCUUCCUUGAUGUAUGUUCUUCAUUCCGAGUUGCAUCAGUAGUGUUUUGUAUAGUGUUCCUGUUACUGGUUUUGUGAAUAUAUCGGCUACAUUCAUUCUCGAGUCUACUCUGUCUAUUUUCAAGUUUUUCUCCAUGAUUUUGUCGCGCACUGUGUGAAUGUCGAUCUCGAUGUGUUUCGUUCUUUGAUGUAGUACUGGAUUUUUUGCUAUUGCUGCUGCAGAGUUGCUAUUUGUGUAGAUUAUUGGUGUCUCAUUUUUGUAAGUUCCGAUUUCUUUUAGUAGAUUAAUGAUCCAUGUUAUCUCGCAACUUGUGUAUGCCAAUGCCCUGUAUUCUGCUUCUGCUGAUGAUCGAGCAACUGUGUGUUGCUUCUUUGUUUGCCAUGAUAUUAGGGACUCUCCAAGAAAGAUGGCGAAUCCUGUUGUGGACCUUCUUGUUGAAGGGCAUGAUGCCCAGUCAGAGUCUGAGAAGGCUCUUAAUCCUGAAGUUUUGGAUCCUGAGAAGACAACAGCAAAACCAGGUGAUUGUUUAAUAUAUCUUAGCACUUUGUGUGCUGCAUUUAGAUCCUUUUGCCUUGGUUUGGCCAUGUUUUGGCUCAGUGUAUUUACUGCAUAUGUUAUGUCUGGUCUGGUUACUGUUAGGUAUACCAAUUUUCCUACUAUGCUUCUGUAUUGUGUGGCAUCCUCUAGUUCUUUUUCAUCAUUCUCUUUUUUGUUAUUUUCUUGUGUUUUCUUUGCCGGUGUAGUUGUUGGUUUUGAAUUUAGAUAUCCAGUUGAUUCUAACAGAUCUAGUACAUAUUUUCUUUGUCCCAUGUAUAUUCCUGUUUGUGCAUAGGUGAAUUCUAGUCCGAAGAAGUAUUUUAGUUUUCCUAGAUCUUUGAUGUUGAAAAAAUUUGCCAAUUCUGUUUUUGUUUUGUUUAUCUGACUAAUAUUAUUCCCUGUGAUUAAUAGGUCGUCUACAUAUGCUAGUAUGAAUGUUUUUGAAUUUUGUUCUUCUUUUAUGAAGAGUGCAUAGUCUGUCUUGGUUUGUUUAAAACCUAUUGUUUGUAGUGCACUGUUUAGUUUAUGAAACCACAUUCUAGAAGCUUGUUUAAGGCCAUAUAGGGAUUUUUUCAGUUUACACACUAGGUUUUGUUCCUUUUGGUUUUUGAUUUUCAAGCCUUGAGGAAUUUUCAUGAAAACUUCUUCUUCUAGAUCUCCAUGUAAGAAGGCAUUUUGGACAUCCAUUUGGUGUAAAUGCCAUCUGUUUUGGGCUGCUAAGGCUAUUAUUGUCCUUAGUGUUGUCAUCCUAGAGACUGGUGCAAAGGUGUCUGUAUAAUCUAUUCCUUCAACUUGGUUAUAUCCUUUUGCUACUAGUCUGGCCUUGUGCCUUUCUAGUGUUCCAUCUGAGUUGAACUUUGUUUUGUAUACCCAUUUGUUUCCUAUUGCUUUCUUACCUUCUGGUAAUUCUACAAUUUCCCAUGUUUUGUUUUCUUUUAAUGCUUUCAAUUCUUUUUCCAUUGCAUCACACCAUUUUGAUUCCUUUAUUGCUUGUGUGUAUGUUUUUGGUUCUUUUUCUUUGUUUAUUUCAGUUAAGAAAGCAUUGUGUUUUUCUGAUAGAUUGUCAUAGGAUAUGUAUUUUUCUAUUGGGUAUUUUGAUUUAUUUGCAUUGUAGCAUAUGUAAUCUUCUAGAUUUUUAGGCCUUUUUGUUUCUCUGUUAGGCCUUUGUGUUGUUGGUUCUGGUUCUUUUCUCUUGCUUUGUGUAGUUUGUUCUGUUGUUUUGUUUGUUGUGUAAUUUAUGUCUUCUAUUAAGGAUGGGUUUAUGACUUCUUUUUCUUGUUUAUUUUUAAAUGGGAAGACAGUUUCGUAGAAGGUUACAUCUCUAUUUAUAAAGAUUGUUCCUUUUUCUAGGUCUAGGAUUUUGUAUCCCUUUGUCAGUGUUGUGUAACCAAGGAAGACUCCUUUUACUGCUCUUGGUUCAAACUUAUCUGAGAUUUUAUUGUUCUUUGCAUAGCAUAGGCAUCCAAAGACUCUUAGGCUGUUGUAAUUUGGUUCUUUGUUGAAGAAAAUGUUGUAUGGUGUUUUCUUUUGUAUGACAGGAGAGGGUGUCCUGUUUAUUAAGUAGCUUGCUGUCAAUAUGCAUUCUCCCCAGUAUUUUAUUGGUGUUUGGGAGUGAAACAUUAUGCUCCUGGCUACAUCUAGUAGGUGUCUAUGUUUCCUUUCUACAAUGGAGUUUUGUUGGGGGGUAUAUGGACAUGUCAACUGAUGUCUUAUGCCAUAUUUUGCUAAAAAUAUUUUGAAUUCCUGGGAUUGAAAUUCUGUUCCAUUGUCACUCCUUAUGGUUCCUAUUUUUGUUUUGAAUUGAUUCAUUGCUUCUAAUGUGAAAUUUUUGAAAAUUUCAUAAGUAUUGCUUUUGUUUCUCAUUAGUAUUGUCCAGGUUGCCCUAGAAAAAUCGUCCACUAUGGUCAUAAAAUAUUUAUGUCCUUUGUGGGUUGGUUCUUUGUAUGGACCCUAUAGGUCUAUAUGCAAUAAUUCAAAAAUUUCUGAUGUUUUAGAAUUGCUAGAAGGAAAAGAGAAUCUAGUAUGUUUUGCCAUAGGGCAUUCAUUACAAAAUAUAUUCUCUAAUUUUGGUAAAAAAGUACUGUUUUUCCUAAUUAAAUCAUAUCUAAUCUGGGAUGGGUGUCCCAGUCUUUUGUGCUAAAUAUUUGUUGAAGGUGCUCUGUUGACAGCAUAUGACCUUGGUUGUUCCAAGACUUCUUUUCUUCCAUUCAGCAUGUAUAGUCCAUUGAUCCUUCUACCCAUAGAAAUCAAUCUCAUCUUCGAAUCCUGUAUCAAACAAUGAUCAGGAUGAAAUGAGAAGCUACAUUUUAAUUGUUUUGUAAGUUUUGUUACUGAUAUCAAAUUCACAUUGAAGUCAGUGAUCUGUAGUACAUUAUGCAAUGUUAACAGAUCGUCUAUUUUGUAAUUCCCCAUGCAUCUCACAGUUGUUGUUUGUGAGUUUGGGAGGUUUACAAUAAUAGGUUUUACUAGUGCCCUUUUUUCACUUAGUGUGAUGGUUGGUCCACACAUGUGAUCUGUGGCUCCACUGUCUAUUAUCCAGUCAGUGGUGUUCCUAGUUUUUGUAUUUAAACAAAAUGAUUCUUGGGACUUACCAGUAUGAUUUGGGUUCAUUUCUGGUUGUAUUUGUGCUCUGCCCAUGUGUACAGAAUGUUUUUCCUCUCCUGUUUGUUGUAUUUGAUUUUGAUUAAGGAGGGAUCUCAGUUGUUCCAUUAUAUCUUGAUUGUUUUGAUUUCCAUUCUGAUAUUCAGGUUGACUGAGGUUGUUGUUCUGAUAUCCAUUGUCAUUUUCAGUCAUGUAGUAUUCCUGGUUUGUAUCUUCUAUUGUAUAGUUGUUUUCAUUCUCUUGCCACUGUUGGUUUUCAACUUCCUCAGAGUAGCUGUUGUAUGCUCUUGUCUGUGGUCUGAAGUUGUUGUUGAAGUUUCUACCUCUUUGGUAGUUGUGGCCUCUAGUUGGUUGUCCCUGUGGCCUGAAGGGUGGUCUCCUUUGUUGGUUGAAUUGUGGUUGGAAAGAUGGUCUGGGAUUUUGUUGAUUGUUUCCAUAUGUUGGUCUUUCUGCAGGGUAACCAUGCAAUUGAUAGCAUGUGUUAAUUGUGUGUCCUGGCCUUUUACAACCAGUGCAGUAGGGCCUUUCACUCUGUGGUCUCGGUGGCCUGUAGGGUCCUUGUGCUAGUAGUGCUGUGGCUGACUCUUUUGGUGUCUCCAUAUCCUUAGUUUGUUCAUCUUGAGUCACCAUUGAAUAAGCUCUGUUUAAGUCAGGCUGGGGAUCCAUUUGCAUUAUUUGCCUGCUUAGCUGUUUAUAUGUUUCAUUUAGCCCAUUCAGAAACUUUAUGAGUCUUUCUUCUUGUAUUACUUCUACACUUUUCCUGCUCAUAUCGUAUUCAUUCCAUAAUUUUGUCAGUUUUGUGUAGUAGUUGCAGACUGAAUCUUCUCCUUGUGUAAGAUUCAUGAUUUUUACUUGUAAUUGGAAGACUAGUGGUCCAUUUUGUAUGUGAAAUCUUGCUUUUAGCUCCUUCCAUAGCAAGUGGGCUGACUUGUAGAAAAUGAAAGCUGGAGAGAGUUCUAGGCUUAGUCCGUUUAGUAUCCAGGACCUCACUAGAGCAUCAGUUGCUUUCCACUUUUCAUAUUCUUUUUCAUUUCUCUCUUCAGGAGUGGGAAUUUCACCUGUUAAAAAUUUCUCUUUGUUUUUGGACUCCACAGCUAUAAUAAACUGUGCACUCCAAAUGUUCCAGUUAUUUCCAUCCAUCUUGAAUGGUACUAACUGAAUUCCUGGAUUGUCUGAAUAUGUUGGGAUAACAUUUUCAUUUGACAUUUUUGUUUCUGAAAAAAAAUAAAUCAAUAAAUGCAGAUGAUCAGAAUGAUGCUGGAAAAUAUCAGGAUAUAGGUGGUGCUACUAUGGAGUGUAUUGAUCACGUGGUGGUGCCAAGACAGUUUCCUGUUUAUCAACCCCCUUUUGAUCCUGUGGCUUGGAAAAAUGCAGCUUGGCUUGGGCUNNNNNNNNNNNNNNNNNNNNNNNNNNNNNNNNNNNNNNNNNNNNNNNNNNNNNNNNNNNNNNNNNNNNNNNNNNNNNNNNNNNNNNNNNNNNNNNNNNNNUUGUGGAUGAUGAUCCAGAUCAGGGACCACAGCCACUUGACAGUGAUCCUGAUGAUGAAGAACCUGAUGGUUUUGAUGAGGACUGGAAUGUUGAUGAGGGAGCUGGUGGUGUUUAUGUACUCAGUGAUGAUGAGAAAGCUAGAGAGAGUGAAGACUACUGUAUUUUUACUUGUGAGGAAAAAGACUGUGUGAGGAUGCUGAGACGUAAGAGGAUGAAGGCAAGGUUGAGAGCUCACUAUAAGGAGAAAGCUCUGGACCUUGGAGUUUGGAAUGGGGAGUAUCCUCCUCGUCUAAUGGAUAGUCCUUAAAACUUUUGACAAUUUGUAAAAAACUUGAAUGAAUAUAUUAUGAAAGGAGAAAAUAUCGAUUACUUGUGAAAAAAUGUGCUUGAUAUUAUGAUGUAUGUAUUAUGCUAUGAUGAAUAUCCCUCUUUUUUUUUUUUUCCUUACAGGUAUGAAUGCUGAUCAGAUGAAUGAUAUAAAUCGUCUCUUGGAUAGUAUGAAUGAUGUGUGGAGUGAUACUUCUCCUUCUAUGAGUCUGGAUAGUGUUAAACAACUAUCACAGGAGAUUAUUGACAAGAUGAAACGUGAUGAUGGUGAGAUUGAUCCUGAUUAUGGACUAUUUCUCUUGACAAAGCUAAAGAAGGAAGCUGAUCUUGUGAUCAGCGAGUGAAAACAAGAGAGAGAGAAAAAAAAAUGUGAAGUUAAAAAUGAAAAUGUUGUUGUAUGAUUAGCAAGAUCUUUUACUGCUCUGAUACCAUAUUAGAAUUGCUACUGAACUUGCGAAUGAUAUUAUUUAUAAUAGUCUAAGAAUGACAACAGUUUAUGAAUGAUAAUAUUUGGAGAUAAAUGUUUAUACAGAUUUGAUGAUUGCAGCAGUGAUCUGGAGAUGAUGAAGAUGAUGAGUAGAUCAGAUGAAGAAUCUCCAGAUGAACAGAUGAUUUGAUUCGAUGCCUUGAGAUUCCAGAAGACAGAUUCCAGAAGACAGAUUGAAGAACCCGGAGGACAGAUUGAAGAAUAGAGAUGGUGAUUUAGGAACAAGGAUUUGAUUCCAAAACCUAAGGUUUGAGUUGUGUUGUUCUAUAAUUAUAGGGAUAAUUACCAACGGCUAUAUGGUUUAGGUGAGUUUGGUAGAUAUCCUUAAUUGUGGUAAUAAAUGAGAUUAGGAAAUGUUUAUAUUGGGAAUAAUGAAUUAAGGAUUGGGAGAAUAUUUGAAAGGAUAUUGUUGGAUAUUGAGUGAUAGGAUAUAUGUGUUUUAGUAGGGACUUGUAUGGUAUUUUCACAAUAAUUAUAGUAUUCUAAUACAGUUCAUUG